Non-coding RNA from Camellia sinensis, 156 nucleotides. NCBI's taxonomy places the organism in Eukaryota, Viridiplantae, Streptophyta, Magnoliopsida, Ericales, Theaceae. The record is from RefSeq and is a predicted model, not a curated record.
AGAUUUUCAGGUCACCUGGUAAACCGCUUGUGCCUGCUGUUUCUGGACGAGUCCAAGAUUUCUUUAAUUUUGCUUCUCAAGCAAAUACUCAGGCACUUUUAGGUUGAGACACCAUUGAUCUUCAACUGCUAAUUAUGGACACCAUUACUAUUUUUG